Molecule: ribosomal RNA, 372 nt
Filed under: Gammaproteobacteria bacterium
Lineage: Bacteria; Pseudomonadati; Pseudomonadota; Gammaproteobacteria
Description: bacterial SSU rRNA
Rfam family: Bacterial small subunit ribosomal RNA
Source: RNAcentral
AGAUAUAAACUGAAGAGUUUGAUCCUGGCUCAGAUUGAACGCUGGCGGCAUGCCUAACACAUGCAAGUCGAACGGUAACGCGGAGAGCUUGCUCUCUGGCGACGAGUGGCGGACGGGUGAGUAAUGCUUGGGAAUCUGCCCAGUAGUGGGGGACAACCCGGGGAAACUCGGGCUAAUACCGCAUACGCCCUACGGGGGAAAGCGGGGGAUCUUCGGACCUCGCGCUAUUGGAUGAGCCCAAGUCGGAUUAGCUUGUUGGUGGGGUAAAGGCCCACCAAGGCGACGAUCCGUAGCUGGUCUGAGAGGACGAUCAGCCACACUGGGACUGAGACACGGCCCAGACUCCUACGGGAGGCAGCAGUGGGGAAUAUU